GCGGUUAUGGCGGAAUUGGCAGACGCGCAGGAUUUAGGUUCCUGUACUUUACGUGUGUGGGUUCAAGUCCCACUAACCGCA
Molecule: transfer RNA, 81 nt
Filed under: Lachnospiraceae bacterium
Lineage: Bacteria; Bacillati; Bacillota; Clostridia; Lachnospirales; Lachnospiraceae
Also listed under: 2 other names
Description: tRNA-Leu
Rfam family: tRNA
About the family: Transfer RNA (tRNA) molecules are approximately 80 nucleotides in length. Their secondary structure includes four short double-helical elements and three loops (D, anti-codon, and T loops). Further hydrogen bonds mediate the characteristic L-shaped molecular structure. tRNAs have two regions of fundamental functional importance: the anti-codon, which is responsible for specific mRNA codon recognition, and the 3' end, to which the tRNAs corresponding amino acid is attached (by aminoacyl-tRNA synthetases). tRNAs cope with the degeneracy of the genetic code in two manners: having more than one tRNA (with a specific anti-codon) for a particular amino acid; and 'wobble' base-pairing, i.e. permitting non-standard base-pairing at the 3rd anti-codon position.
Source: RNAcentral